Molecule: ribosomal RNA, 747 nt
Filed under: Glomeromycotina sp. OTU31 DJMC-2012
Lineage: Eukaryota; Fungi; Glomeromycota
Description: eukaryotic LSU rRNA
Rfam family: Eukaryotic large subunit ribosomal RNA
Source: RNAcentral
AAAGAAACUAACAAGGAUUCCCCUAGUAACGGCGAGUGAAGAGGGAAGAGCUCAAAUUUUAANUCUGCCUUGUUCCAAGGUCGAGUUGUAAUUUGAAGAAGCGUUUUCUUGGGCUCGCGGCCGGUAGAAGUUCUUUGGAACAGGACAUCAUAGAGGGUGACAAUCCCGUCCGUGACCGGUCGUGCGUUCAUMUACGAUACGCUUUCAAAGAGUCGAGUUGUUUGGGAUUGCAGCUCCAAACGGGUGGUAAACAUCACCUAAGGCUAAAUAUUGGCGAGAGACCGAUAGCGAACAAGUACCGUGAGGGAAAGAUGAAAAGAACUUUGAAAAGAGAGUUAAACAGUACGUGAAAUUGUUGAAAGGGAAACGAUUGAAGUCAGUCGUGCUGGCGCGAAAUCAACCCUCUCGUCUUGAGAUCACAUGGCGCGACGAGCCUCAAAACCGUCACGAAGCGUGAACUCUUGACGAAAAGGUGCACUUUCGUGUCCGCUGGUUAACAUCAAUUUCGAACGUCAUAAAAAGGCUGGAGGGAUGUGGCUCCUUCGGGAGUGUUAUAACCUUUAGCGGAAUGUGGCGUUCGGGAUUGAGGAUUGCAACGAAUACCUUCAGGGCUGUUCCACCUGGCUUCUCAUUGGUAUCCUGGUGACGACAGCUUGCUGACGUCGUUAGGAUCAGCUUCUGAACAGGCUAGAGUGUGAGCAAAUUCGUUAAGGAUGUUAACGUAAUGGCUUUAAACGACCCGUCUUG